RNAcentral lists this long non-coding RNA (1023 nucleotides) under Prunus persica (peach). Its description in RNAcentral is "long non-coding RNA (PPER_LNC001265)". The record is from RNAcentral. Lineage: Eukaryota; Viridiplantae; Streptophyta; Magnoliopsida; Rosales; Rosaceae.
GAAGCCUCUAUGAAGUUGAAAUUGAUGCCCCACAACUAGAUGUUCUUGAAAUAGAAGAAUCGGUUUUUGUGAAGUUUAAGAUUGGAAACUUCAAGCAUCUCCGAGAAGCAAGGUUUCAAAGUGGCUUCUACGAAGCAAAGAGGCAACUAGGAGAAGUGGGAGAACUUCUCGUUCUUUUGCGAGAAAUAUUUUCUACGAUUAACACAACAUCAAUAGAAACUAAAUCAUACCUUGAAAGCACCAUCUCCGACAACCAAGCAGCUAGUAGAUAUUGACGUUGUGUUAAUCGUAGAAAAUAUUUCUCGCAGAAGAAUGAUUAGUUCGCCCACUUCUCCUAGUUGCCUCUUUGCUUCGUAGAAGCCACUUUGAAGCCUUGCUUCUCGGAGAUGCUUGAAGUUUCCAAUCUUAAACUUCGCAAAAAUCGAUUCUUCAAUUUCAAGAACAUCUAUUGUGGGGCAUCGAUUUCAACUUCAUAGAGGCUUCCAGCAGCAAGGUACACUUCUUGUCCUCUAUCAAGCUGUAGCUUAUGAAGAUGCAGUUUAAUUUUUAGUCACUUUUUUUAGCAGAUUUUUCUGGUUGGUUGUUCAUGCCAUACUUGCUCGCACACCUUCCUAAUUUACAGAGAUUGGAUCUCGAAUUGGUAGAUAGGGAAGAUGUUCGAAAGGGCAAGAAAUUGGAAUCCCCCAAAAUAUAAUGUGGGAUGGUGUUUGACAAGCGUUAAACGUGUUCGAUUGAUUGGAUUUGGUGAAAUGAUGGAAGAAGAUUGAUUGGAUUUGGUGAAAUGAUGGAAGAAGCCGGUCUAAUAUUAGCUUUUGUGAGGGAGACUGCUACCGAAGAACACUUUGGAAAAAUAACCAUUACCACAUGCAAUUCCAAUGUAUAGAAGAUGAUGCAGACUUGAUUUACACGGCCUAAGAAAGUACACAAGAGAACUGAUCAUGAGGAAACACAAAUCUAUAUUGACUGUACCAGUAUUUUAGACAAAUGGCACGGUUGACAACUCUCACAUCAUUGAGGUGGUAC